This is a long non-coding RNA of Tachysurus vachellii, 503 nucleotides long. RefSeq lists it as uncharacterized. Lineage: Eukaryota; Metazoa; Chordata; Actinopteri; Siluriformes; Bagridae. The transcript has 3 exons. The record is from RefSeq and is a predicted model, not a curated record.
GAUGAGCGGAAAGAAAGAACAAGAGGAAUCACUGACCAUUACCUACACUGAAAGGAUCAUCCAGGAUCAUCCAGGAUUACAAUUAAAAAGUUAAAGAACAAGUGUUUGACCUCCUGUGGAAGAAAGAACAAAAGUAAAAGAGGAAAAUCUGAGUGACUGGACCAUCCAGGUUUCCUUAACAUCCAUCUUUAUCAUCAGCAAUAUCAACAAUUCCUGUUCUCACAUGAUCAUCUUGUUUGCUGGUUUUCUGGCAGGGACAUAAAACACUUCUAGGUGGCUGUGUAGCGUCUGUAGAAGUGUUUCUACCGACAUAAUGAAAUUUGCAGUAUUAUAGCACCAUCUACCGCCACGUUUAUGUACUGCAGGUUCAAUGACAUGAAUCCAAUUAGCAUAUUUAACAAAUAUGCAUGUGCUUUAAAAUAAAGAACUGAAUAAGACCAUUUCAAAAGGUUUGUCAGAAACAAAGGAGAAAAAUGUGUUUGAUGACUAGAGAGAGUUUAUCC